GGGCCGGUAGUUCAAUUGGGAGAACACCUCGUUCGCAAUGAGGAGGUCGGGAGUUCAAUUCUCCCCCGGUCCA
RNAcentral lists this transfer RNA (73 nucleotides) under Candidatus Omnitrophota bacterium. RNAcentral's name for it is "Candidatus Omnitrophica bacterium tRNA-Ala". It matches the Rfam family "tRNA". Rfam says of the family: Transfer RNA (tRNA) molecules are approximately 80 nucleotides in length. The record is from RNAcentral. Lineage: Bacteria; Pseudomonadati; Candidatus Omnitrophota.